Molecule: long non-coding RNA, 506 nt
Organism: Gadus chalcogrammus (walleye pollock)
Lineage: Eukaryota; Metazoa; Chordata; Actinopteri; Gadiformes; Gadidae
Exons: 4
Source: RefSeq, a predicted model, not a curated record
ACGAUAAAAGAUGUGCUUGGAGAAUGUGUGAUAUGAUAGUAGUUCAAACUAGAAUGCGUUUCGUCCUAACGAACUGACGUAGUAAAAAGUAGUCCAAUUUGGCGGUAAAGACCGCCCAAUCAGGCGCCACCUGCACGUCCGCCAUGUUCUGACCUGAGCAGCUGAGCUAAUCACUGACCAACUGAGACCAACUGAAACGAAGCCGAUACGGAACGUAAACUGUGAUUCUGAAAAAAGUAUAAAGGCGACCAACGCAGGAACCCAGCACGAGAAAAGACGACAGAGGGGAAGAUUUUCAUCAGUAUUCGCGCCAACGGAAGAAAACCCUUACCCAAUGCUUUAUCUGGGUUAUGAGAAGCCACCUGAGAAGAAACGCAGAAGAGUCGUCAGGAUGAGUGUUGACGGUCAAGUCGCAUCAACAACAGACCAAGCUGUGAUGGUGUUCGAGCAGCCUCAAACCUUCAAGGAUGCCCAAACACAGUGGAUGGAUCCAGCUGAGGAGGACC